CCCAGGGAAAGCUUUACAAAAACCCACAGAGGUAACUGUACCAUAUGAGAAGAUGCUACAAGACCAGUCAGCUUUGAUAGUACAGGGGCUUCCAGAAGGUGUUGCCUUUAAACACCCUGAGAAUUACUAUCUUGCAACCCUGAAAUGGAUUUUGGAGAACACAGCCGGGAUUUCAUUCAUUAUUAAGAGGCAUUUCCCUGGAAGUGGCAGCUGUGACAGUAAAGGAAGAAUCAGAAGAUCCUGAUUAUGAUUUAUAUCACAUUCAAGGAGCCAGCUGAGGAGGUGUCAUGCAACUUGCUGCCCCAGCCCUCCCCUUCUAAGGAACUCCCACACCUGCCCUGUCUUCCUGCUACAGUCUCUGAGAAAAGCCCUUUCAUCUGUCAAGAACUACAAAAGUCAUUCUUUAAGGU
RNAcentral lists this long non-coding RNA (410 nucleotides) under Homo sapiens (human). RNAcentral's name for it is "non-protein coding lnc-NOS2-5:4". The record is from RNAcentral. Lineage: Eukaryota; Metazoa; Chordata; Mammalia; Primates; Hominidae.